This 403-nucleotide unclassified non-coding RNA is filed under the name Hevea brasiliensis (rubber tree). Lineage: Eukaryota; Viridiplantae; Streptophyta; Magnoliopsida; Malpighiales; Euphorbiaceae. The record is from RNAcentral.
UUCAGUGUGAGCUUAUCUGCAUCAACUUUUGCAGACAAGUUUACCCACAUGAAUUAAAUUCAAAAUAUGCAUAAACUAGCCUUGACAGGGUAAAAAGAAGAUAAAGGUAGUACCUUUAAGUGAAAAAAAUGGUUCAAAACCAGACAAGUCUUGAAGUGAAGAGAAGAAGAGAGAGAAAGGGGGCAUUAAAAUGCAAAAGUGACUGGCUUUUUCUUACACAUACAUAUACAUAAAUGGGUUCUGUGUUCUUGGUUCUAUUGCCCACUCACAUCUACUACUAUGGCCUUCAAAAAAAUAUACAGAGACACAAGCAUUGGGAAGGGAGAAAGCAGGAGAAUAAUAGUGUGGGGUUCUUUCUUUUUUCUGCAAUUUAUUGGAGGACAUGAAAAUAUUUUUAAUUGCG